AAAAUGAAAAAUUGUAGUUUAGUCCUUUUAGAAAUAGUAAAGUUAUAAAUUAAUUUUUCAUAAAAUUACACUUUGGCCCGCUUAAAUAUGAAAAAAAAAACUAUUUAUUCCUUAAAAAAUAAUGAAAUUAUAAGUUAGUACAUGGUAAAAUUAUAUUUUAAUCUCUUAAAAUUUUAUAAUUCAAUUCCAGCCCCCCCUAAAAAAAAUUUCUCGC
This 214-nucleotide long non-coding RNA is filed under the name Gossypium raimondii (Peruvian cotton). Its description in RNAcentral is "long non-coding RNA (GRAI_LNC001837)". Lineage: Eukaryota; Viridiplantae; Streptophyta; Magnoliopsida; Malvales; Malvaceae. The record is from RNAcentral.